Molecule: ribosomal RNA, 449 nt
Filed under: uncultured bacterium
Lineage: Bacteria
Description: partial 16S ribosomal RNA
Rfam family: Bacterial small subunit ribosomal RNA
Source: RNAcentral
AACGAACGCUGGCGGCAGGCUUAACACAUGCAAGUCGAACGCAUCCUUCGGGGUGAGUGGCAGACGGGUGAGUAACGCGUGGGAACGUGCCCUUCAGUUCGGGAUAACCCAGGGAAACUUGGGCUAAUACCGGAUACGUGCGAGAGCAGAAAGAUUUAUCGCUGAAGGAUCGGCCCGCGUCUGAUUAGCUAGUUGGUGGGGUAAUGGCCCACCAAGGCGACGAUCAGUAGCUGGUCUGAGAGGAUGAUCAGCCACAUUGGGACUGAGACACGGCCCAAGCUCCUACGGGAGGCAGCAGUGGGGAAUAUUGGACAAUGGGCGCAAGCCGGAUCCUGCCAUGCCGCGUGAGUGAUGAAGGCCUUAGGGUUGUAAAGCUCUUUCGUCCGGGACGAUAAUGACGGUACCGGAAGAAGAAGCCCCGGCUAACUUCGUGCCAGCAGCCGCAGUAA